AUUGAACGCUGGCGGCAGGCCUAACACAUGCAAGUCGAGCGGAUGAAGGGAGCUUGCUCCUGGAUUCAGCGGCGGACGGGUGAGUAAUGCCUAGGAAUCUGCCUGGUAGUGGGGGAUAACGUCCGGAAACGGGCGCUAAUACCGCAUACGUCCUGAGGGAGAAAGUGGGGGAUCUUCGGACCUCACGCUAUCAGAUGAGCCUAGGUCGGAUUAGCUAGUUGGUGGGGUAAAGGCCUACCAAGGCGACGAUCCGUAACUGGUCUGAGAGGAUGAUCAGUCACACUGGAACUGAGAACCGGCCCAGGCCCCUAGGGGAGGCAGCGGGGGGGAAUAUUGGAAAAGGGGCGAAACCCUGAACCAGCCAUGCCGGGGGUGUGAAGAAGGUCUUCGGUUUGUAAAGCCCUUUAAGUUGGGGGGAAGGGCAGUAAGUUAAACCCUGGCUGUUUUGACGUUACCAACAAAAUAAGCACCGGCUAACUUCGU
RNAcentral lists this ribosomal RNA (483 nucleotides) under uncultured bacterium. RNAcentral describes it as "partial 16S ribosomal RNA". It matches the Rfam family "Bacterial small subunit ribosomal RNA", at positions 30 to 506 of the family's 1533-position model. The record is from RNAcentral.